UGGGGAAUAUUGCACAAUGGGGGAAACCCUGAUGCAGCGACGCCGCGUGAACGAGGAAGGUAUUCGUAUCGUAAAGUUCUGUCCUAUGGGAAGAUAAUGACAGUACCAUAGAAGAAAGCUCCGGCUAAAUACGUGCCAGCAGCCGCGGUAAUACGUAUGGAGCGAGCGUUGUCCGGAAUUAUUGGGCGUAAAGGGUACGCAGGCGGUUUAAUAAGUCGAAUGUUAAAGAUCGGGGCUCAACCCCGCAAAGCAUUGGAAACUGAUAAACUUGAGUAGUGGAGAGGAAAGUGGAAUUCCUAGUGUAGUGGUGAAAUACGUAGAUAUUAGGAGGAAUACCAGUAGCGAAGGCGACUUUCUGGACACAAACUGACGCUGAGGUACGAAAGCGUGGGGAGCAAACAGG
This 403-nucleotide ribosomal RNA is filed under the name bacterium. RNAcentral's name for it is "partial 16S ribosomal RNA". It matches the Rfam family "Bacterial small subunit ribosomal RNA", at positions 355 to 776 of the family's 1533-position model. The record is from RNAcentral.